RNAcentral lists this ribosomal RNA (465 nucleotides) under uncultured bacterium. RNAcentral describes it as "partial 16S ribosomal RNA". It matches the Rfam family "Bacterial small subunit ribosomal RNA", at positions 28 to 507 of the family's 1533-position model. The record is from RNAcentral.
GACGAACGCUGGCGGCGUGCUUAACACAUGCAAGUCGUACGGUAAGGCCCUUUCGGGGGUACACGAGUGGCGAACGGGUGAGUAACACGUGAGUAACCUGCCCACAACUUUGGGAUAACGCUAGGAAACUGGUGCUAAUACUGGAUAUGUGCUCCUGCUGCAUGGUGGGGGUUGGAAAGCUCCGGCGGUUGUGGAUGGACUCGCGGCCUAUCAGCUUGUUGGUGGGGUAGUGGCCUGCCAAGGCGGCGACGGGUAGCCGGCCUGAGAGGGUGACCGGCCACAUUGGGACUGAGAUACGGCCCAGACUCCUACGGGAGGCAGCAGUGGGGAAUAUUGCACAAUGGGCGCAAGCCUGAUGCAGCAACGCCGCGUGCGGGAUGACGGCCUUCGGGUUGUAAACCGCUUUCAGCAGGGACGAAGCUUUUUGUGACGGUACCUGCAGAAGAAGCACCGGCUAACUACGUG